RNAcentral lists this long non-coding RNA (316 nucleotides) under Musa acuminata (dwarf banana). RNAcentral describes it as "long non-coding RNA (MACU_LNC008628)". The record is from RNAcentral. Lineage: Eukaryota; Viridiplantae; Streptophyta; Magnoliopsida; Zingiberales; Musaceae.
UGGUGUUUGUGGGAUUAUUUGGACCUUUGCUAGAAAUGGUAAAGGGUAUGUGCUUAGAGCCCGCGAUGCUCUAGAUUAUGUUUGGUGGUCAUUCAGAAAUGGAUGGACCAUAUUAUGUUUGGAAUCCUACUUCACCAUCUAUCUGUUUAAUAUGAAAUUCAGAGCCGACCUAGCACUUGGGUAGGGUGCGAGGGCUCGAGUAGGAAAGGGCUACCCGUGGAUGGAGUCGAGAACUCAUCACGGCGUAGAGCCACCACUGAGUUAAACCUCACAUACACUAUGCUAGGGUACGACGUCUGAGCUUCUAUUUCGUAUU